UGCGUAGGCGGUUAUUUAAGUCUUUGGUGUAAGUGCAGGGCUCAACUCUGUGAUGCUAAGGAAACUGGAUAACUUGAGUGUGGUAGAGGUAAGUAGAAUUCCAUGUGUAGCGGUAAAAUGCGUAAAUAUAUGGAGGAAUACCAGUGGCGAAGGCGGCUUACUGGGCCACAACUGACGCUGAGGCACGAAAACGUGGGGAGCAAACAGGAUUAGAUACCCUGGUAGUCC
Molecule: ribosomal RNA, 228 nt
Filed under: uncultured bacterium
Lineage: Bacteria
Description: partial 16S ribosomal RNA
Rfam family: Bacterial small subunit ribosomal RNA
Source: RNAcentral